UACGAAGGGGGCUAGCGUUGUUCGGAUUUACUGGGCGUAAAGCGCACGUAGGCGGAUUGCUAAGUCAGGGGUGAAAUCCCGGAGCUCAACUCCGGAACUGCCUUUGAUACUGGCGAUCUUGAGUCCGGGAGAGGUGAGUGGAACUGCGAGUGUAGAGGUGAAAUUCGUAGAUAUUCGCAAGAACACCAGUGGCGAAGGCGGCUCACUGGCCCGGUACUGACGCUGAGGUGCGAAAGCGUGGGGAGCAAACAGG
This 253-nucleotide ribosomal RNA is filed under the name uncultured bacterium. RNAcentral's name for it is "partial 16S ribosomal RNA". It matches the Rfam family "Bacterial small subunit ribosomal RNA", at positions 524 to 776 of the family's 1533-position model. The record is from RNAcentral.